RNAcentral lists this ribosomal RNA (429 nucleotides) under uncultured Dialister sp. RNAcentral's name for it is "bacterial SSU rRNA". It matches the Rfam family "Bacterial small subunit ribosomal RNA", at positions 355 to 776 of the family's 1533-position model. Lineage: Bacteria; Bacillati; Bacillota; Negativicutes; Veillonellales; Veillonellaceae. The record is from RNAcentral.
UGGGGAAUCUUCCGCAAUGGACGAAAGUCUGACGGAGCAACGCCGCGUGAGUGAAGACGGCCUUCGGGUUGUAAAGCUCUGUGAUCCGGGACGAAAGAGCCUGAGGUUAAUAGCCUAAGGAAGUGACGGUACCGGAAAAGCAAGCCACGGCUAACUACGUGCCAGCAGCCGCGGUAAUACGUAGGUGGCAAGCGUUGUCCGGAAUUAUUGGGCGUAAAGCGCGCGCAGGCGGCUUCCUAAGUCCAUCUUAAAAGUGCGGGGCUUAACCCCGUGAUGGGAUGGAAACUGGGAAGCUGGAGUAUCGGAGAGGAAAGUGGAAUUCCUAGUGUAGCGGUGAAAUGCGUAGAGAUUAGGAAGAACACCGGUGGCGAAGGCGACUUUCUGGACGAAAACUGACGCUGAGGCGCGAAAGCGUGGGGAGCAAACAGG